RNAcentral lists this transfer RNA (59 nucleotides) under Pegosomum saginatum. Its description in RNAcentral is "partial tRNA-Thr". Lineage: Eukaryota; Metazoa; Platyhelminthes; Trematoda; Plagiorchiida; Echinostomatidae. The record is from RNAcentral.
GGUUAAUUAGUUUAGAGGUAUAAGAAUACUGUUUUUGUAAAACAGGGGGGUCUGUUGGA